GCUUUGCAUUGUAUCCUGCGACACUCAGUUACUAGUGAUGUGAGCCUGGAAAAGUUCCUUGCCUUUGGGGCUUCAGUUUCCAUUUUAGUAAACUUCGUAGGAUUGCUAUGAAGAUUAAAGCAUGUGGAUAAGCCACGUAAAGUGCUUGAAACAGUGCUUACAAAAGAGUGAGCACUCAGCAGGGGCUAUUUCUGAUGAUGAUGAUGAUUGUUGUUAUAUUUAAUUUGGAGAGGCAUAAAUAACUGGCAAAAUUAGGAAAGCAAUCAAGAGGGGUAUAUGCUUGAGGCAAAUUGGUUCUGACCAGGUUUUGAAUGCUGAGAUUAUCUGAAGAACAAGAGACACAUCCAGUCUACCUCAUUGAGCCAACAUUAAAGAACAAAGGGAACAGAUAAAUUGGAAAUAUUAAUACAUGGACGCCGUGGUUGAACCUUGGGGAUGCCACUGAAAAGAUUCAGAGAGCAGUGUGGUAAGUGAUCCCUGAGAUAAAUGAAUAGAAAAUCAAGGAAAAAUUAAGAGGAAAAAUCAUGGAAGGCAUAUGAUGGACCAGGAUGCAUUUCCAUAAGGCAGGGUGAGAAGACCUAUGUCUUCAGAAAUUUAAGAGAAAUAUGUCUUCAAAGGCAAAGUCCACCAAGAUGCUCAGUAUAAAAAAGCAGCACCUAUUGCGUAAGAAGCAGAAAAGAAGCUUGACUUUUCCAAUUCUGAAAGAUGAUGGAAAGAGUUGA
RNAcentral lists this long non-coding RNA (722 nucleotides) under Callithrix jacchus (white-tufted-ear marmoset). RNAcentral describes it as "lncRNA (ENSCJAG00000079541.1)". The record is from RNAcentral. Lineage: Eukaryota; Metazoa; Chordata; Mammalia; Primates; Cebidae.